This is a Y RNA of Callithrix jacchus (white-tufted-ear marmoset), 151 nucleotides long. It matches the Rfam family "Y RNA". Rfam says of the family: Y RNAs are components of the Ro ribonucleoprotein particle (Ro RNP), in association with Ro60 and La proteins. The Y RNAs and Ro60 and La proteins are well conserved, but the function of the Ro RNP is not known. The record is from Ensembl. NCBI's taxonomy places the organism in Eukaryota, Metazoa, Chordata, Mammalia, Primates, Cebidae.
GGCUGGUCAAAGGCGGUGAGUUAUCUCAAUUGAUCGCUCAGUCAGUUACUCCCAGCUGGUAGAAGGUGGUGAGUUGUCUCAAUUGAUCGUUCAGUGUACUCCUUGUUCUAUUCUUUCUCCCCUUCUCACUACUGUGCUUGACUAAUCUAAA